Long non-coding RNA from Bemisia tabaci, 540 nucleotides. RefSeq lists it as uncharacterized. NCBI's taxonomy places the organism in Eukaryota, Metazoa, Arthropoda, Insecta, Hemiptera, Aleyrodidae. The record is from RefSeq and is a predicted model, not a curated record.
CCUCUCCUUUCCCUCUGAUAAUGCUUUUGUGACCUACGGGCCCCACUUACGUCAAGACAUAACGGUGUGAUGCUAACCCAAACACCCAUAUGAAUGCAUGUCUAAUAUUUUCAGAACUGCCUCUAAGAUGAAGAAGAAGCAACUUCAAUUUUUACUUACUUAUACUGAGGGUAGGCCCUACUCAUCUGGGGUUGAAGGCAGAAUGUGUCCAGCUGGCAUUGAUGGCGUUGCAAACCAUUAUAGAACAUUGCUAUAGCAGGAGAUAAAUUCAGCUCUUCAUACAAAUUAUUAGUGAUGAAACUUCCAUGUUAACAUCGAAAAAUAAUAUUGAAUCAAUGCUGAAAGCGAUAAGCAAUGGCACAGAAAGAUGAGUGACAUCAUUAUAAGAGCCAAAGAUUCAACCAGCAAUUCCUUGAUAUUCAUUCACCUAUAACUCAGUAAAGGAUUCAGCCACCCUCAAUUAAGAAUGAGAGGUCAUAUUGAUGGUGCAAGUGUGUUCACAAGUUUUUAACUUUAAUACAUCACAAUUGUAUACAAAAA